CAGUAGCCGCGGUAAUACAGAGGGUGCGAGCGUUAAUCGGAUUUACUGGGCGUAAAGCGUGCGUAGGCGGCUUCUUAAGUCAGAUGUGAAAUCCCUGAGCUUAACUUAGGAAUUGCAUUCGAUACUGGGAAGCUAGAGUAUGGGAGAGGAUGGUAGAAUUCCAGGUGUAGCGGUGAAAUGCGUAGAGAUCUGGAGGAAUACCGAUGGCGAAGGCAGCCAUCUGGCCUAAUACUGACGCUGAGGUACGAAAGCAUGGGGAGCAAACAGGAUUAGAUACCCGCGUAGUCCCUGUCUCUUAUAC
RNAcentral lists this ribosomal RNA (301 nucleotides) under uncultured bacterium. Its description in RNAcentral is "partial 16S ribosomal RNA". It matches the Rfam family "Bacterial small subunit ribosomal RNA", at positions 509 to 807 of the family's 1533-position model. The record is from RNAcentral.